ACACAAGCUCUCUUGCCUUCUGCCAUGUAAGAUAUGACUGUGCUCCUCCUUCACCUUCUGCCAUGAUUGUGAGGCCUCCACAGCCAUGUGGAACUGGAAGCUGUUUUUCCCUCUUUGGGGUCUCAGAGAGAUUGGUGGCAAGGACUCCUGGGAAGAGAAAAGCUGAAGGACACUCUGGCAAGAGGUACCACCUCUCACUGGCUGCCCAAGCAAGAUUCUAUGGCUUGGAAUAAUUCUCAGCGACUCACUCAUCAAAGGGCAUCUAUCUAGAAGCCCUGCUCCUUCAGGGACAUCUGAGGUUGAUGAGCUGAUCCAAUAAGCCAUCAGAGCUGGAAUAGUAGUAGUUAACAAUGGCUCUCUGCACUCUUUUUAAAUAACUUUGCUUUUCAGGCCAAGGUGAGAGCCUCGUGGGAAUUUCACAAAUUUUAUAGAAGCAGAGGAGUGCUAUUUGAGCAAGGGGCGGAUAACACCUACAAUCCACUCAGGAUUUCCAAGCAUAGCCGGAUGCAGAAGUACUCAUACUUCACUACAGAAUCACCUGGGGAGCUUUUAACCUUCUGAUUCUAGUGUUUCCCUCUGGCAGAUGGAGACAGAAACUUGACUGGGCUCAGGAAUAUGUGUUUUUAAAAUUCUCCAGAAGAUUUUAAUGCAGUACAAGUAAGAAGACAGGACUGCAAUUCACAAGAACAGUAUAUCCUGGUGAUUCCUCAGAACAGAACAGACUCAAAAAAAAAAAAAAAAGAAGAAGACAAAAACAAAGAUAACAUGAAACCAGAUUCCACAACCAUGUUUCAAGUGACCUAUGUGAGUCAGGCCCAUGAGACACAUACUACACCAGUUU
RNAcentral lists this long non-coding RNA (841 nucleotides) under Homo sapiens (human). Its description in RNAcentral is "long intergenic non-protein coding RNA 520". Lineage: Eukaryota; Metazoa; Chordata; Mammalia; Primates; Hominidae. The record is from RNAcentral.